CCAUGCAAGUCGAGCGGCAGCACAGAGGAACUUGUUCCUUGGGUGGCGAGCGGCGGACGGGUGAGUAAUGCCUGGGAAAUUGCCCGGUAGAGGGGGAUAACCAUUGGAAACGAUGGCUAAUACCGCAUAACCUCGCAAGAGCAAAGCAGGGGACCUUCGGGCCUUGCGCUACCGGAUAUGCCCAGGUGGGAUUAGCUAGUUGGUGAGGUAAGGGCUCACCAAGGCGACGAUCCCUAGCUGGUCUGAGAGGAUGAUCAGCCACACUGGAACUGAGACACGGUCCAGACUCCUACGGGAGGCAGCAGUGGGGAAUAUUGCACAAUGGGCGCAAGCCUGAUGCAGCCAUGCCGCGUGUAUGAAGAAGGCCUUCGGGUUGUAAAGUACUUUCAGUAGGGAGGAACC
Molecule: ribosomal RNA, 402 nt
Filed under: Vibrio cholerae
Lineage: Bacteria; Pseudomonadati; Pseudomonadota; Gammaproteobacteria; Vibrionales; Vibrionaceae
Description: bacterial SSU rRNA
Rfam family: Bacterial small subunit ribosomal RNA
Source: RNAcentral